UUGGCGGAACCCACCGCCCACGACACCGCGACCAGCGACGCACCGGCCAACACCGCGGUGCAGGACGACCGAAGCCCCGGUGAACGGCGGCCGUAACUAUAACGGUCCUAAGGUAGCGAAAUUCCUUGUCGGGUAAGUUCCGACCUGCACGAAUGGCAUAAUGAUGGCGGCGCUGUCUCCAGCAGAGACUCAGUGAAAUCGAAAUCGCAGUGAAGAUGCUGUGUACCCGCGGCUAGACGGAAAGACCCCGUGAACCUUUACUACAGCUUUACAUUGAACUUUGACCUUACCUGUGUAGGAUAGGUGGGAGGCUUUGAAGCAGGCACGCCAGUGUCUGUGGAGCCAUCCUUGAAAUACCACCCUGGUAAUGUUGGGGUUCUAACUCAAGCUUAACAGAGCUGAGGACAAUGUAUGGUGGGUAGUUUGACUGGGGCGGUCUCCUCCUAAAGAGUAACGGAGGAGCUCGAAGGUACGCUCAGCGCGGUCGGACAUCGCGCACUGUGUGCAAAGGCAUAAGCGUGCUUGACUGCAAGAUCGACGGAUCAAGCAGGUAGGAAACUAGGCCUUAGUGAUCCGGUGGUUCUGUAUGGAAGGGCCAUCGCUCAACGGAUAAAAGGUACUCUGGGGAUAACAGGCUGAUACCGCCCAAGAGUUCAUAUCGACGGCGGUGUUUGGCACCUCGAUGUCGGCUCGUCGCAUCCUGGGGCUGGAGCAGGUCCCAAGGG
Molecule: ribosomal RNA, 725 nt
Filed under: Mycobacterium tuberculosis
Lineage: Bacteria; Bacillati; Actinomycetota; Actinomycetes; Mycobacteriales; Mycobacteriaceae
Description: partial 23S ribosomal RNA
Rfam family: Bacterial large subunit ribosomal RNA
Source: RNAcentral